GAUGAACGCUAGCGGCAGGCCUAAUACAUGCAAGUCGAACGGUAACAUUCUCGCUUGCGAGAGAUGACGAGUGGCGCACGGGUGCGUAACGCGUAUGCAACCUACCCUUAACUGGAGGAUAGCCCGGAGAAAUUCGGAUUAAUACUCCAUAGUAUCACCAGAUGGCAUCUGAAGGUGAUUAAAGAUUUAUUGGUUAAGGAUGGGCAUGCGUGACAUUAGUUAGUUGGUGAGGUAACGGCUCACCAAGACAACGAUGUCUAGGGGUUCUGAGAGGAUGAUCCCCCACACUGGUACUGAGAUACGGACCAGACUCCUNACGGGAGGCAGCAGUAGGGAAUAUUGGUCAAUGGGCGAGAGCCUGAACCAGCCAUGCCGCGUGCAGGAAGACGGCCUUCUGGGUUGUAAACUGCUUUUAUACAGGAACAAAUAGUCCAUGCGUGGAAAGUUGAGUGUACUGUAUGAAUAAGCACCGCUAACU
Molecule: ribosomal RNA, 478 nt
Filed under: uncultured bacterium
Lineage: Bacteria
Description: bacterial SSU rRNA
Rfam family: Bacterial small subunit ribosomal RNA
Source: RNAcentral